UGUGUGAAUAUAUGUGUGUGUGUCUGAAUGUAUGUGUAUGUAUGAAUAUUUGUGUGUGUGUGUAUGAAUGAGGUUUGUUAGUAUGUUUAUAUGAAUAAGUGCAUCUGUUUAAAUGUCUGCAUGUGUGUAAUUUCUAUAAAAAUGGUAUAAAGCUGUGCAAAAUUAAAAAAAUAAUUCUACAGUUUAGGGGAUUGCCAAAAUACAUAUCUGCACUAGUGAUGUCCCGAAUGGUGCGCUGGCGAAUAGUUCCUGGCGAACAUAGCGUGUUCGCGUUCGCCACGGACGGCGAACAUAUGCGAUGUUCGGUCCGCC
Molecule: non-coding RNA, 312 nt
Organism: Pelobates cultripes (western spadefoot toad)
Lineage: Eukaryota; Metazoa; Chordata; Amphibia; Anura; Pelobatidae
Source: the annotation of a GenBank genome assembly